This 305-nucleotide ribosomal RNA is filed under the name uncultured bacterium. RNAcentral's name for it is "bacterial SSU rRNA". It matches the Rfam family "Bacterial small subunit ribosomal RNA", at positions 333 to 636 of the family's 1533-position model. The record is from RNAcentral.
GUUAACCUACGGGACGCAGCAGUGAGGAAUAUUGGUCAAUGGUCGGGAGACUGAACCAGCCACGCCGCGUGAGGGAUGAAGGUACAGAGUAUCGUAAACCUCUUUUGUCAGGGAACAAAGGCGGGGACGUGUCCCCGGAUGAGUGUACCUGAAGAAAAAGCAUCGGCUAACUCCGUGCCAGCAGCCGCGGUAAUACGGAGGAUGCGAGCGUUAUCCGGAUUUAUUGGGUUUAAAGGGUGCGCAGGCGGUCUGUUAAGUCAGCGGUCAAAGCCCGGGGAUCAACCCCGGCCCGCCGUGGAAACUGG